Daphnia pulex (common water flea) is the source of this 73-nucleotide non-coding RNA. Lineage: Eukaryota; Metazoa; Arthropoda; Branchiopoda; Diplostraca; Daphniidae. The record is from Rfam.
UCCCAUAUGGUUUAAGUGCCUAGGAUACCUGGCUUUCACCCAGGAGGCUUGGGUUCGAUUCCCGGUAUGGGAA